This 264-nucleotide ribosomal RNA is filed under the name uncultured bacterium. RNAcentral describes it as "partial 16S ribosomal RNA". It matches the Rfam family "Bacterial small subunit ribosomal RNA", at positions 793 to 1055 of the family's 1533-position model. The record is from RNAcentral.
GUCCACGCCCUAAACGAUGUCAACUGGUUGUUGGGGUUUGACACUCUCAGUAACGAAGCUAACGCGUGAAGUCGACCGCCUGGGGAGUACGGCCGCAAGGUUAAAACUCAAAGGAAUUGACGGGGACCCGCACAAGCGGUGGAUUAUGUGGAUUAAUUCGAUGCAACGCGAAAAACCUUACCUACCCUUGACAUGUCCUGGAGCCUGGAGAGAUCCGGGUGUGCCCGAAAGGGAACGGGAACACAGGUGCUGCAUGGCUGUCGU